RNAcentral lists this Y RNA (115 nucleotides) under Prolemur simus (greater bamboo lemur). RNAcentral's name for it is "Y RNA (ENSPSMG00000002737.1)". It matches the Rfam family "Y RNA". Rfam says of the family: Y RNAs are components of the Ro ribonucleoprotein particle (Ro RNP), in association with Ro60 and La proteins. The Y RNAs and Ro60 and La proteins are well conserved, but the function of the Ro RNP is not known. Lineage: Eukaryota; Metazoa; Chordata; Mammalia; Primates; Lemuridae. The record is from Rfam by way of RNAcentral.
GGCUAGUCCGAAGGUAGUGAGUUACCUCAAUUGAUUGUUCACAGUCAGUUACAAAUCAAACUGCUUGUUCUACUCUCUCUCUCCCCUUCUCAUUAUUACACUUGAUUAGUUUUUU